Long non-coding RNA from Carya illinoinensis, 666 nucleotides. RefSeq lists it as uncharacterized. NCBI's taxonomy places the organism in Eukaryota, Viridiplantae, Streptophyta, Magnoliopsida, Fagales, Juglandaceae. The transcript is spliced from 2 exons. The record is from RefSeq and is a predicted model, not a curated record.
CUUGCACCAUCACCUUGAACCCACACCCCAUCAUAAAGAAGUUUGCCCCUCCGCGAUUUCAGCACGAAGCCCCAGCCCCUUACCCCCGGCGCGCCCCCUCGAAUAACGUCGGCCCCCCUCGCGAUCUCAGCUCCUCUUAAAACGUCGGCCCCCCCUUGUGAGUUCAACUCCUUAUUGAAGCUCAACCCCAUCACGUCGACAUCGCGUCUCAACCCCCUCGAAGCUUAGCCCCUUUUGCACAAGUUUGCUCUCCAAGUUCACUCGCAACGAGUUCAGCCUCAAGUCCAAGUCAACCAUAGGUAUUGAGUUCAGCACUGGGAGCUUGAAUGUGGAUGGCAAGCUGCAAGAAAAUAAUCGAUAUCGGACUGAGAUUGGGGCGGUGCAAAGAGAGGCAGCAAGGAAGAGAGGGGCAGUGCAAAGAGAAGGAAAAGAAGAGCAGCAAGGAAGAGGAAGACGGAAAAGAUGAAGGCUCUGUCACGUCGGCAUCGGACUGAAAUUAGGGCGGUGCAAACAGACGGAAGAGAGGAGCAUACUCGAAGAGGAAGACGGAAGAGAGAGGCUACAAAAUCAGUGUAUUUCCUCUUGAUUCUCUGUGAUGGAGCCUACUCAAAUUACAGUAUAUUUCCUUACGUGGCAACAGUUAAUUAGAUGGCUGCUUUUGUGCAA